This is a long non-coding RNA of Mya arenaria, 769 nucleotides long. RefSeq lists it as uncharacterized. The record is from RefSeq and is a predicted model, not a curated record. NCBI's taxonomy places the organism in Eukaryota, Metazoa, Mollusca, Bivalvia, Myida, Myidae. The transcript has 2 exons.
GCUGCCGGUAGCCAAUAUACCCAAAAUGGUUCCCGGUUGAAAGUUGUAAACAAGGCGGAACAAUGAAAGAAAUAAUUGUUCCAAUUGUGUCUUUUUUGGCCUCAUUUUUCUUAGUUAUUCUAUUCAUUGCCUUAGGAUGGUAUGUGAUAUGGACACUUUUCCUAAAGAAGUUCAAAUUUGUGCGAGAACUUUUGGGAACCAAUGACUCUGAAACGGAUGUGACUUCAGAUCGAGCACGCAAAAGUCGGGGGAAAGUGCGGAGAGAUUGAGCGUUACAUAUGACAUUGUUAUAAUGUUGUUAUUUUAUACUGAGGUGAAUGGUUAUAUUUAUGAGCUGUUUAUGAAAUGAAAGUUCAUUAUUUGUGUUCAAUUUCUUUGUCACUGUAAUCAGGGACACCUUUCUGAAUGUGUGCUGAAUAUAGGCAGUUUGCCAGGUUCUGCAAUGCGAGUGUUCUUUUCAUAACAUAAUGCUACAAGGUUGGUUUUUUUAUCACUUAUCAUGCAUUUAUUGUGUUGAUUAUAUCAGUAAACCUGAUAUUUAACUUUGUGUUGUUCAUAAGGAUGUAAACGUAUCUGUUUUCUUAGUAUGUAAUGUUCACUCAGUAUUAUAUGGAAAGUUAAUUUAUGCUGGGUGUAUGGUUUUUUUUUGUAUUUUGUACCGGUAUACAUGAUUUUUUUCUGAUGGAAAUUUGAGUAUAUACUGUAUCUUAGCAAAAUGUCUUUUGCAAUUGUAUUAAAAAUGUGUUUUGUGAUAAAAUAAUAAUCACGA